AUGAACGCUGGCGGCGUGCCUCAUCCAUGCAAGUCGCGCGAACAGACGAGGAGCUUGCUCCUUUGACGUUAGCGGCGGACGGGUGAGUAACACGUAGGUAACCUACCUAUAAGACUGGGAUAACUUCGGGAAACCGGAGCUAAUACCGGAUAAUAUUUCGAACCGCAUGGUUCGAUAGUGAAAGAUGGCUUUGCUAUCACUUAUAGAUGGACCUGCGCCGUAUUAGCUAGUUGGUAAGGUAACGGCUUACCAAGGCAACGAUACGUAGCCGACCUGAGAGGGUGAUCGGCCACACUGGAACUGAGACACGGUCCAGACUCCUACGGGAGGCAGCAGUAGGGAAUCUUCCGCAAUGGGCGAAAGCCUGACGGAGCAACGCCGCGUGAGUGAUGAAGGUCUUCGGAUCGUAAAACUCUGUUAUUAGGGAAGAACAAACGUGUAAGUAACUGUGCACGUCUUGACGGUACCUAAUCAGAAAGCCACGGCUAACUACGUG
This 496-nucleotide ribosomal RNA is filed under the name uncultured bacterium. RNAcentral describes it as "partial 16S ribosomal RNA". It matches the Rfam family "Bacterial small subunit ribosomal RNA", at positions 29 to 507 of the family's 1533-position model. The record is from RNAcentral.